UCAGCCUACGGGGGGCAGCAGUGGGGAAUCUUGCACAAUGGGGGAAACCCUGAUGCAGCGACGCCGCGUGAAGGAAGAAGUAUUUCGGUAUGUAAACUUCUAUCAGCAGGGAAGAAAAUGACGGUACCUGACUAAGAAGCCCCGGCUAACUACCUGCCAGCAGCCGCGGUAAUACGUACGGGGCAAGCGUUAUCCGGAUUUACGGGGAGCAAAGGGAGCGUAGGCGGUAAUGCAAGUCAGCAGUGACAGCCAGGGGCUCAACUCCGGGACUGCUUUUGAAAAUGUGUUGCUAGACUGCAGGAGAG
RNAcentral lists this ribosomal RNA (305 nucleotides) under uncultured bacterium. RNAcentral's name for it is "bacterial SSU rRNA". It matches the Rfam family "Bacterial small subunit ribosomal RNA", at positions 331 to 656 of the family's 1533-position model. The record is from RNAcentral.